CAAGACGAUCCAGUACGUGUAAUAUUCUUUGUACAUAAUUUAGAUCAUUAACCUUGAAUAAUUGAGGGAUGACCUCAUUUAAUCUCCAGUAGCAAAUUUGACCUGUAUUAUGGGAGGAGUUAUGCGUCUGGAUCGUCUUAC
The sequence is a small RNA, 141 nucleotides long. It matches the Rfam family "Yersinia sRNA 155(RyfD)". The record is from Rfam.